CUUGGUCAUUUAGAGGAAGUAAAAGUCGUAACAAGGUUUCCGUAGGUGAACCUGCGGAAGGAUCAUUAUUGAAAUAAAUCUGAUGAGUUGCUGCUGGCUUGCUUUAGAGCAUGUGCACACUUGUCAUCUUUAUAUCUCCACCUUUGUGCACAUUUUGUAGGCCUGAAUAUCUUUCUGAGUUGUUAGCGACUCAGGUUUGAGGAUUGAUUUUAAAUAAUCCUUCUUUACAUUUGCAGGCCUAUGUUUCUUUAUAUAUACCCCAUUGUAUGUUCUAGAAUGUAAUAAAAUGGGCCUUUGUGCCUAUAAACAUUAAUACAACUUUCAGCAACGGAUCUCUUGGCUCUCGCAUCGAUGAAGAACGCAGCGAAAUGCGAUAAGUAAUGUGAAUUGCAGAAUUCAGUGAAUCAUCGAAUCUUUGAACGCACCUUGCGCUCCUUGGUAUUCCUUGGAGCAUGCCUGUUUGAGUGUCAUUAAUAUAUCAACCUCUUCAAUCUUUGGCUUGUUGAGUGUUGGAUGUGGGUUUGCUGGUUUCUCUCUUGAGGUCAGCUCCCCUGAAAUGCAUUAGCUGAACAAUUUGUGGACCUUGUUCAUUGGUGUGAUAAUUAUCUACGCUACUGACAACAAAGCAAGCUCAGCUUCUAACAGUCCAUUGACUUGGACAAUAUUUAUAUCAAAUGUGACCUCAAAUCAGGUAGGACUACCCGCUGAACUUAAGCAUAUCAAUAAGCGGAGGAAAAGAAACUAACAGGGAUUGCCUCAGUAACGGCGAGUGAAGCGGCAACAGCUCAAAUUUGAAAUCUGGCUCUUUUAGGGUCCGAGUUGUAAUUUGUAGAGGAUGCUUCGGCGUCGGCUCCGGUCUAAGUUCCUUGGAACAGGACGUCAUAGAGGGUGAGAAUCCCGUAUGUGAUCGGUUGCCCUUGCCAUGUGAAGCUCCUUCGACGAGUCGAGUUGUUUGGGAAUGCAGCUCUAAAUGGGAGGUAAAUUUCUUCUAAAGCUAAAUACUGGCCAGAGACCGAUAGCGCACAAGUAGAGUGAUCGAAAGAUGAAAAGCACUUUGGAAAGAGAGUCAAAAAGUACGUGAAAUUGUUGAAAGGGAAGCGCUUGCAACCAGACCUGCCUGCAGUUGCUCAUCCGGGCUUUUGCCCGGUGCACUCUUCUGCUGUCAGGCCAGCAUCAGUUCGGGCGGUCGGAUAAAGGCUUCGGGAAUGUAGCUCCUCUCGAGGAGUGUUAUAGCCCGUUGCGAAAUGCGGCCAGCCUGAACUGAGGUCCGCGCUUCGGCUAGGAUGCUGGCGUAAUGGUUGUAAGCGGCCCGUCUUGAAACACGGACC
RNAcentral lists this ribosomal RNA (1328 nucleotides) under uncultured fungus. RNAcentral's name for it is "eukaryotic LSU rRNA". The stretch from base 678 to 1328 matches the Rfam family "Eukaryotic large subunit ribosomal RNA", at positions 1 to 667 of the family's 3401-position model. The record is from RNAcentral. Lineage: Eukaryota; Fungi.